AGGGCACCACCAGGAGUGGAGCCUGCGGCUUAAUUUGACUCAACACGGGAAAACUCACCCGGCCCGGACACUGGAAGGAUUGACAGAUUGAGAGCUCUUUCUUGAUUCAGUGGGUGGUGGUGCAUGGCCGUUCUUAGUUGGUGGAGUGAUUUGUCUGGUUAAUUCCGAUAACGAACGAGACUCUAGCCUAUUAAAUAGAUCGUUGGCUUACAAACGCCGGCGAGACUUCUUAGAGGGACAGGCGGCGAUUCAGCCGCACGAAACAGAGCAAUAACAGGUCUGUGAUGCCCUUAGAUGUCCGGGGCCGCACGCGCGCUACACUGAAGGGAUCAGCGUGUCUUCCCUUACCGAGGGGGACGGGAAACCCGCUGAACCCCCUUCGUGGUCGGGAUCGGGGCUUGCAAUUAUUCCCCGUGAACCAGGAAUUCCCAGUAAGCGCAAGUCAUAAGCUUGCGUUGAUUACGUCCAUGCCCUUUGUACACACCGACCGUCGCUACUACCGAUUGAACGUUUUAGUGA
Molecule: ribosomal RNA, 519 nt
Filed under: uncultured eukaryote
Lineage: Eukaryota
Description: bacterial SSU rRNA
Rfam family: Eukaryotic small subunit ribosomal RNA
Source: RNAcentral